GCUCGUGGUGACAGCGGAGGAUCAUUACAGAGUUGAAAAACUCCCUAAACCAUCGCGAACGUUACCCUUAACCGUUGCUUCGGCGGGCGGUCCACAAGACCCCCUUGGCCCCCCUUUCGCGGGGGGGGCGCCCGCCGGAGGUCACGUUUUAAACUCUUGAUACCUGUACGGCCUCUCUGAGUAUUCUGUACUGAAUUAAGUCAAAACUUUCAACAACGGAUCUCUUGGUUCUGGCAUCGAUGAAGAACGCAGCGAAAUGCGAUAAGUAAUGUGAAUUGCAGAAUUCAGUGAAUCAUCGAAUCUUUGAACGCACAUUGCGCCCGCCAGCAUUCUGGCGGGCAUGCCUGUUCGAGCGUCAUUUCAACCAUCAAGCCCCCCGGGCUUGUGUUGGGGACCUGCGGCUGCUCCGCAGGCCCUGAAAUACAGUGGCGGGCUCGCUAGUCACACCGAGCGUAGUAGACAUUUUAUCUCGCUCAGGGCGUGCUGCGGGUUCCGGCCGUUAAACCCCCGCCUUCUAACCCAAGGUUGACCUCGGAUCAGGUAGGAAGACCCGCUGAACUUAAGCAUAUCAAUAAGCGGAGGA
Molecule: ribosomal RNA, 583 nt
Filed under: uncultured Sordariales
Lineage: Eukaryota; Fungi; Ascomycota; Sordariomycetes; Sordariales
Description: eukaryotic LSU rRNA
Rfam family: 5.8S ribosomal RNA (bases 205-358)
Source: RNAcentral